Molecule: long non-coding RNA, 875 nt
Filed under: Piliocolobus tephrosceles (Ugandan red Colobus)
Lineage: Eukaryota; Metazoa; Chordata; Mammalia; Primates; Cercopithecidae
Description: lncRNA (ENSPTEG00000008092.1)
Source: RNAcentral
UUCCAACAAAAAUUACUGCUGUAUACGGUAUUUUUCUUGUUUUUUCAACAGUGACUCAUUAUAUAUAUUUAAAUGACUUUUUUUUAUUUUUUGUCUUUUUUUAGGCAGAAAUAAAAGAAAUUCAAGAAGAAAACUGGAAUCUUUAUUUACAGAUAGAUUUGCUUAAGGUAUUAUAUAUUUUUUUAUUAAUAUUUUAAUUUUCUAUUUAGCGUAUUAAUUAAACAUAAUAAAAAUUAAUUUCAGUUUAUUAUAAAAGCCUGUCAUAAUUACUAUUUAUUCAUGCUUAUAGGAAAACUUAAAUAUUUUGGAAGAAAAAUGUAAUCAGUUACAGAAUUUUAAUGAAGAUAAAAAUAAAAACAUUGACAUUUUAAAUAAGGAAGUACGGGACUUAAAGGAUAAGAAAACGAUAUAUGCAAUAGAAAUUGACAAAAUUUUAAUAGAAAAAAAUAAUAUAAGAAUUGAAAGGGAAGAAUUUGAUAAAUCUAAAACAGAAUUUAAAAUAAUAGAAGAAAAGUUUUAUGAAGAAAAAAUAGAAUUUGAAAAGAACAAAGAUGAGUUUUUAAAGGAAGCAGAACAACUACAGAAAUGUAUAGACACAUUGGAAAAAGAAAAACAAGAAAUAUUGGAAAAUAAAAAAGAGUUAGAAAAAGAUAAACAAAAACUAGAAGAAGAUAUACAAAAACUAGAAAAUGAAAAAGUUAAACAAGAAAAUAAUAUGAAAAAUAUCAUAAUAAAGUAUAACAAUUUACAAAAAGAACAUGAUAAUCUUAUAACUGAAAAUUCGGUAUGCUAUAGAUACAACAAAUGUCGUGUACUCUAAUGUUUAUAUUAAAACGCAUAAUAAAUUUUGUAAUGCUAUAAAAAAAGAAUAAAAU